Long non-coding RNA from Cottoperca gobio, 795 nucleotides. RefSeq lists it as uncharacterized. The transcript is spliced from 3 exons. NCBI's taxonomy places the organism in Eukaryota, Metazoa, Chordata, Actinopteri, Perciformes, Bovichtidae. The record is from RefSeq and is a predicted model, not a curated record.
UUCAAGCAUGACAAGCAAAGAGUAACAUCACUGCAUCCCUCCAUUAGUCCCAGGUCUCUGUGUAGAAAAGCCUGAUGGUCUUAAACGAGAGAGAGAGAAGCUCACGGAACAUCGCUCAAGCAUGUGGAUGCAGACUGAAACGUAUACCGGUUGACCAGCAUGUGGCUCGUAGUUGCUGUGUCUCCAGGACAAAUGGAUGGAAGACCUGCCCCCCAGCAGUCACCUGACCCAGUCAUCUACCCACAAAAGCAGCUUCUCCUUUACAAUCAGCCUCAACACAUAUUGUGUUCUCCGUGUAUGUACCUGGACUAAUUACCAAUGUGUCAUCCUAUUACUUUUGAAUUGUUUGCCUGGUCAGACUCCUUUCUUGUUGCUCACUGCUGCCUCGUAGCGCUAGUGAACACUGUUUAUCACACCUGCUCUGCCUCCUGGGUAGCAGAUCUGUGAUCCAUUGUUGCAACGCUGUAACAUGAGAUGUCCACCCUACGUCCUACUGCAACUGAGGCAUGCUAAGGUGCAAACACAACAGUUUGAAACAGUUUCGAUCCGGCUAAGUGACUAAUGCUUGAUCUAAUAUCAGUCAUUCAGUUGUUUUUGGUUGUAUUUUUACUUCACAGCAGCAAGAACACAACAGGAAAAGCUUUUCUUGGGAACAGAUUCAACAACAGAACACAUUUCCUCUGCCCUGUUUCUUUUGGCUGAUUAAUUGCAGCUCAGAUAAAAUUGACUUAGAGAUACCUUAGAGAUGCCUCACAUUGAAAUGCAACCAGAGCACUGCCACCAUGGCUGGGUAUA